RNAcentral lists this ribosomal RNA (2277 nucleotides) under Triticum aestivum (bread wheat). RNAcentral describes it as "partial small subunit ribosomal RNA". The record is from RNAcentral. Lineage: Eukaryota; Viridiplantae; Streptophyta; Magnoliopsida; Poales; Poaceae.
UACUAGCCCUCCGGGUACUUCUUACCUUCCACAUCUACCCGCUCCUUCCAUCCUGAUCUCCAUCGGUAUCCUCUACUCCGGUUGCUGUACCUCGAUACCGGUUUUUAGACCCUGACCUCUUAGUCUUCGUGGUUUCUUAAACUAAACGGGGGCUCUUAGUGGUUUCUUAGUGUUAUAUGUCUAUAUAGAUUACUAAACUCUAUGUAUAAUAAACAGAAUUUAAACACAUCGAUGCCUGCUUAUGUAAGCCUGGUAGCGGGAUAUUAACGACAUGAUUUACCAGUUUCGCACAGUUCACUACCCCCGCCCUCAGGUGUCACAAAAGCCAAACUCCGUGCUACCGACGUUCUCCUCCCGACGGUCCUCCAGCACCUCCUCCGCACCUUAUCCCGGAAACCACUACCCCCUCCCAGCUGCUCCGCUGGCCAUCGGGUCGUCCCCGUCAGCUAGUAGAGUUUCCACUUACUCGAGUAUUUGGGGCAAUGGCUCUUGACCCUGCUCCGAGAGCACUCCCUCGAAAAGUGUGUCCUCCUGCGGUUCUAGUAAAAUCGCUAGGGAGAGUCUCGCCCCUACCUCCUAAAAGAGAGGACCGUGAUACUGUUUUCUCCCGAAAAGAGCCAGUUUAGCCGUAUGGUUGACCCCCACUCAGACUUUCUUUGUUUCUUCGUGGUCCUGCGCCUCCCCAGAUGGCCAGUCCACGUCCGAUCCCUCGUUACCGUUGUGUAGACCUUCGAACUAGACGGCCCCUUUCAAGCGUACAAGGACACCGCAAACCGCGUAUUGUCGGACGGUUGCUCUUACUUAUAAUUCGCCUUCGUACACCUCGAACUAUGAGACACAGGAUACACGGACUCCGAACUACUCCUACCCCCCGUAGAAAAGGAAUUUACAUUCUUCCACUUUCGACACACCUCCCUCGUCUUGGAACUCCUACAGGCCGACUACGAUUCACUAACGGUACUAAGGAUGGUCCACUAGUUCGUUUAUACAAGCGACGGUUGUCUAUUCUCCAACGCACACCGAUAAGAGGAGACCCUAACCACCUGUCGUUCCUUAUUUUGGUUGCGGCCGCUUUUCGUCCCCUGACGUGUCCUCCAAUCACCCAAAUAAUGAUCCGUGAACGUUCUAAAAACAUCGCACGUCGUCGUCUCGUAGGGAGGCAGUCACUGUCUGGUUGCUACCCACGGUGGACUUGGACCUCACCAAUUUAAAUUGUACCUGCGUCGCAAGGUAGUUCUCCGACUCCGACCUCGUACCCCAAAGUAACGAUCCCUGCUCUACCCGUUAAAAUAGCGUCGCCGCCGACCGUUCAACCUCGUGUAGUCCUCGGGGGAGGUUCGACUCGAGUCACGCACGUACUACCGUUAACUACCCCGACGACAAAACCCCCGAGUCGCACAGCAAAAACUCAGACUAACGGAUUGUUACUAAUUACGAGAUUUACCCGCCCUCAUACUACGACGUCUCGACCCGCAGGAGAAGUCUCUUCGAUCUUCAAAUACGGCCGAAAGGAAACUCAGAAUACUAAAGUCCAAAACAGCAUCCCCGACAUUAAAUUAACGCGUGUUAGACCGCGUCAAACCGGAUCCCCGACAACAAAGGGAUAGACACACCCUACAUCUUCGGGGUCUGAAACAAAGCCGAGACCAACCGUGGCUCUACCACUUGGUCCGUUGGGCGCGAGAUAUGACGAGGAACAAGCAGUUUCAACUCUGUCUAUCUCCUACGCCAUCCCCUCCGGCCCUUCCCACGACGACCGGCGUGCCGAGCAGGUACACCGACGAGCCGCUGCAGCUCGCACACCGCCCCGACCUCCUCAACCCAGCUCGUCUGGCGAACUUGCCGCGACGACGACGAGCAAACCUCACGUGCCCGGCACAACCGAAGAAGCUCUCCGAGACCCUGCGGCCACCGCGUCCGCGGUGCCCAGAGCGGCGCUACAAGCCCGUCGCCCGGGCCGAAGCCUACACGUGGCUGCCAGUUAAGUCCCGGCGCCUCUCCUCGCCGCCGUUCCAGUCGCGGCGCAGAGACAGGUUAGAGGGAGAAGAGAGGCAGCUGUCCUUGGCCUCUUUCCGCGGCGGUAACCGCUGGUACCUCGAGUCACGGGGCGGAAGGAGGUGGAGCGGAGACUGGGGGAGACGUGGCCUAGGUGGAUCGGUUCUGGAGACACCGAGACAGCGCAGCAGGGGCUCCCGCGACGAACGUCCAUCGGGCGGUUGUUCGAGGCCGUGGUCGGGAGGAGCCAGUGGAGGUGCCAACGGGAGUGGCAGCACCACU